Long non-coding RNA from Triticum aestivum (bread wheat), 2137 nucleotides. RefSeq lists it as uncharacterized. The record is from RefSeq and is a predicted model, not a curated record. Lineage: Eukaryota; Viridiplantae; Streptophyta; Magnoliopsida; Poales; Poaceae. The transcript has 4 exons.
CAAAAAUCAGUCAACCUUCCACCGCCCCUCACACUUCUCUCUUCCCCAUUCUUCCCUGGCUCCCUCAUCCACAACGCGAUCCCCAUCCAUGGCCGGAGCUAUCUGGUGGCAGCCCCUCCCCUUCGUCAGCAACGCCGGCGGACGCGCGGCCCCCUGCUCUGCCCCGUCCCUCCCCUUCGCCAGCACCGCCGGCGGCCGCGCAGGCCCCUCCUCUGCCUCGCCCCUUCUUCCUAUCCGGUGACGCCGGGGCCUGCCUCCUCCUGGCGACGCCUGGGCGCUCGAGCUCGGCAUGCUCGCCGGCGACCCCGGGGCCCUCCCUCGUGCUGACGCACUCGCCUUGGCCGCGCAGGCCCCUCCUCUGCCCCGCCCCUUCUUCCUAUCCGAUGAUGCCGGGGCCUGCCUCCUCUUGGCGAUGCCGGGGCGCUCGAGCUCGGCAUGCUCGCCGGCGACGCCGGGGCCCUCCCUCGUACCGAUGCACUCGCCGCGCCACGAACUUCCCUCCCCCCCCCCACUGCUCGGGACGCCAUCAAGGUCCAAUUCCAUCUCUUGUUCUCCCCUCGAUCCGGAUGCUCUGCUCUCCGACCCCGUUCGGUAACCGUUAAUGGUUCAGAUACCCUGAGGGAGAAGGAGGUGCCGAAAGGGGAUGGGAGCAACAAGUUUGAAUCGAAAGAGUUUAUUGUACCAUCAGUGGCCGUGCUGGACAGGAGGGGCCAGCGAAGUACUUUUAGUUAUGAGUUUGUUAAACCGGCGGAAUCUAAUAUUCCUGAGAUUGAAGGAUGUAACAUCGCACAUGUUGUACUACAGCUGAAAACUCUUGGCAUUGAUGUGUAACCAUCAAGUUAGUUUAAUGUGCCCUCAAUGGCCAUGUUGGACAGGAGGGGCCAGGGAAGUGUUUUCGGUUGUUUCAAGACUGUGAGUUUGAUAAAAUGGCAGAAUCCACUAUUCCUGAGAUUAAACCAUGUAACCUUGCAAAUAUUGUACUACAACUCAAGGCUCUUGGGACUGGUGACAUCAUAGGUUUCCAUUUUAUGAAGAAACCAUCAAGGGUCUGCAAUCAAUGGCACAAUUCAGCAGUUGAGCUACAAAAACUGAAAUUGGGUGCUUGUGUAAUGCUCAUCACCCAAGGAUUGAGUGUUGCUUAUAUCCUGGAACGGGGUGCGCGUCCCAUUGGGAUUGGUCGGGGCUAUACGAAGUCCUUGAACCCUGUGAAUGUCAAGAAGGUUAUCACACAAUUGUAACGGAAGGAAUAGUAUUAGCACAACGCUGACAGAGUGCAGUUUUAUGUUCAACUCCAUCCCACUGUUUGCCAUCAAAAAGCUUUCUUAUGGUGCCUCUGCAACCAAUUGAAUUUAUUUUGCACUAAUAUACCUGCAAUAAUGCUUCAGGAUGUAGUAGGUUGUAAUACUGUAUAUCUCAGACAGACUUUAUUUGUGUUCACAUGAAUUGGAACUGAGCAUUGAACGAUCCAUAUGCAGCUUCAUGAGUCAUUUAGGUGAAGUCAGUCCAAUGCUCAGCAGGGAUCAUGUUAGCAUAUGGUCAUGCCAUAAGUCACCAAUUCCUACAUUUUCCUUCUAGAAUUGCUAUUAUUUUUCAUAAAUUCAAUGAAAGCAAUUGAUGGAUGACAUGAACAGGUUGACAAAUGAGCAUGCAUCUACGGAGUGGAGCAGAGGCGUCUUCUAGCCUAACGAAGUCUUGGCGGCAGCUGCGUGUAAAACCCUUACCAACUUCAGAUCAGAGAAGAGCAUGCACCUGUGCCGGCGAAGAGCUCGUCGUCGCCGCUGUGGGAGGGCGCCUGGGCGGCUGCACCUGUGUUGGGGAAGAGCUCGUCGUCGCGGCUGUCGUCGGUGACUCGGCGAGCUCGUCGUCACGGCGGUCGUCGGGUGCCUCGGCGGCUGUGCAGGGCAGCAACGGCACACGUAAGCUGGACGGCGGAUUGAUUCCCUGGAUAUAUUUCCGAUAAGCUAGCACAUUUGUUUCCGUAUAUGGCUCCCCGUGUAAAUUGGAUGUGGGCUGUUUCCUUUGUGCGGGCGUGGGUGUUGGUAGAGUUUUCGUCCGCCCUGGAAAAAUGCUAAACGCACUUCUUUUGUGGGUUGGUGUAAUCGUGAUGGCUAGAUCUAAUUAAGCGAUUUGAUCGUGA